This is a long non-coding RNA of Homalodisca vitripennis (glassy-winged sharpshooter), 481 nucleotides long. RefSeq lists it as uncharacterized. Lineage: Eukaryota; Metazoa; Arthropoda; Insecta; Hemiptera; Cicadellidae. The transcript has 3 exons. The record is from RefSeq and is a predicted model, not a curated record.
AAUUCCAAACCAAACCAUAAUAAAUUCCAGAAAUACAAUGCUCCAGCACAUCACCACUAUGAUGUUCAGGAUUUUCUUAACAAAUAAUAUCCUCAUCGUUCAUUGGGUAGGAGAGGAAUUAUUGAAUGGCCAGCAACAUCACCAGAUUUCUUUGCAUGGGGAUUCAUCAAAGAUGUUGCGUACAGCAUGGAAGGAAACAUUGACCUUGACAUGUGCAAAACACCUGCGCGGUGGCAGUCCACUACUGUGAAUGACACACCUGAUGCCAGUUGCGACUACAAUGUUUAUGGCACAACAGAAGUCACAGUUUUGUGAGAAUCACCUCCUUCUUUUGUGGCAUCUCGAGAAUCUUCCCAUUGGCCAUAAGGCUCAGGUUCCUAAAAUAUAUUCAUACAAUAUGCAAAUUAAAAUUAAUUUUAGAGUUAUGAGAUUAUAAUAUUGUACAAAUUCAGAUAGUAUUUUAUCAUGUCUUAUUACACUA